CUGUCUGUCGUCCCUGACGCGUGACGCGGCUGACGCCUGACAUUUACAGCUUUGACUGUGAUGUAUCAUGGUAAUAUGUUUAUCUAAAAGCAGAGAGAUUUUGUGGCAUUGCAGAGAGCGAAUAAGCGGAAUGGAAAAAUAGAUGCAAGGUCAGAUGACUCUGGCAAGAUAUAGCCUAGAAUAGAUGCUAUUAUACCAUGCCUGAUGCAUGAUUGUUGCAGCCUCUUCAAUUGAAUGAACAAAGACAAAAGUUACAAAGACAACUACAAUCCUACAGCAUCGAAAGUGUUAAAAGAAGACAAUUGCUUACCAUUUGCUGGCAAAUAUGGAAUUGGGAUCUUGCUUAAAAGUACUUGAUACCUUUUUCAUGGGAAACCUCAUUUCACAUUCUUCUGCCAUUUUGAUUUACUUUUAUCAAAGUGUCAACCAUUUUUUUAGUCUGUAGACUGACAAAUUCAGGAUGAGUUUACUUCCAAGCAUUGACACAACAUACAUCUCCAUACAGAAAAAAAUGUGUUGGUGAAUGUUGUCAAGAAUGCAGAUGAUACCAAUAUAUACUUCUGAAUUCAGGAAUUUAGUUAAUUUACUGUGAUAUCAACCUAAGCAAAAUCUUCAUAUGUGAAGUGCUUUCAGACUUCAUUGGUGCCGAAUUUUUGAGUAUAUUAUCACCAGAACGUCAUACAAAAUAACUUGGGCAGAAAACAGAUACCUUUGGACAAUGGUUACACCAAGGGCAGUGAAUGCAUUUCUCUUUUCACCAUUGGUCAGCUGACUUGCCUUCCCAGUUGCAAUGAAGAAGAAUGAUUAGUCAAAAGUAUUAAAAGGAAACAAGCAACAGUUAUGGUUCGUUUGGUUGGAGCCCUUUGUCAACAAAGGGAGAGAGGACGAAGUCAAACGUAUCCGAAAGGUACGGGGUUACAAGAUGGAAGCUUAGCCACGGUUUAUUGUCAAACAAAUAGACACGACUGUCGGAGCCCUUUGUGCGCAGGGCAUUUGACGAACCGGGCACUCAAAUGACGCUAAAGACUUUUCACUUUGCUUGUGUGGCACCGAUGAACAUCACACAGGAACUUUCUGGAUUAAGGAAAUCAUUAACGCCCUAAAGGCCUUUAGUACACCUGUUAUCUCCACCCAGCUUCUAAUUGUUGACGACCCGGAAUAUGCGCGACAAGUUAAAGGAAGGAUCGAAAACAAUUUUCGGAGAACUAAAUUAAACAAUUUUUCGUUAUCAAUAUUUUUCAAUUGUCUUUUUAUGUGACGGGAUAUUUCGAUGAAGUAUAACUGCCUGAUUAUUUUUAAUGUCGAUUAAAUUAGACAUUAACCGAAUCCGCUUGCUAAAACUCGAGGUGGCUGCAAAUUCUAUCUAGUAGAGCCUCUGUAUACAUGUAAACUGAAAAUAAAGCCUGCUUUCAUCGAAGUCAUUAGUGAAACAAUACAAAUUGUAAAGCUGUGCUCCAUCUGCAAAAUCGUCAAUGUAUCUGUGAGGCAGUACCUCAAAGAACAAUUGCCUAGGGACUUCAUACAGGGUUUGCCAACUGCUAGCCGAGCUGUCAUCAACAUCGACGAUACAAGGAAACCGCAUAGAUAGUGUGUUUAUCUGUUAACUGCUUCAAAUUGACUCAGAAUUAGGCAGCAAUUUUGGAAGUUGUUGCUUUCUCAGUAUGAAUGAGCUUCAAUGUUGGUGUUGCAGGUGUUACCCAUGUUACGUUGACUGUUUGGAUUCCUAUUCAUUAACAUUUCAAAACCAAAUUCAUCUUCUUAAAAUUGACUCGAAAGGAUUUAGAUCAUUCUAGGAAAAUAUCUAUCAAAGAUGCAAAGCUCUAAUGGGAUUAAUUUAUCCGUCAAAUUAAUGAUAAACUUGGAUCUGCAAAGGUUCCUUGGUUGGGGCGAGAUACCGAAUAAAGUUUAAUGAUUGGAUGCACUA
Molecule: long non-coding RNA, 1924 nt
Filed under: Daphnia magna
Lineage: Eukaryota; Metazoa; Arthropoda; Branchiopoda; Diplostraca; Daphniidae
Description: uncharacterized LOC116934786, transcript variant X8
Source: RNAcentral